Caenorhabditis elegans is the source of this 126-nucleotide small nucleolar RNA. Lineage: Eukaryota; Metazoa; Nematoda; Chromadorea; Rhabditida; Rhabditidae. The record is from Ensembl.
CAGUCUUCAGUAUGGGUCAAUCUCUGAUCUGCAACUGAAUAUGAUGAGUUCGGGCGAUGAUCUUCUGUGAUUACAUCGCACGGCGAGGUGGGAACGCAAUACCCGCCUGCCAGCCCGAUUCUGAAC